GCGGCUUNGCCUAAUACAUGCAAGUCGAACGAACUCUGGUAUUGAUUGGUGCUUGCAUCAUGAUUUACAUUUGAGUGAGUGGCGAACUGGUGAGUAACACGUGGGAAACCUGCCCAGAAGCGGGGGAUAACACCUGGAAACAGAUGCUAAUACCGCAUAACAACUUGGACCGCAUGGUCCGAGUUUGAAAGAUGGCUUCGGCUAUCACUUUUGGAUGGUCCCGCGGCGUAUUAGCUAGAUGGUGGGGUAACGGCUCACCAUGGCAAUGAUACGUAGCCGACCUGAGAGGGUAAUCGGCCACAUUGGGACUGAGACACGGCCCAAACUCCUACGGGAGGCAGCAGUAGGGAAUCUUCCACAAUGGACGAAAGUCUGAUGGAGCAACGCCGCGUGAGUGAAGAAGGGUUUCGGCUCGUAAAACUCUGUUGUUAAAGAAGAACAUAUCUGAGAGUAACUGUUCAGGUAUUGACGGUAUUUAACCAGAAAGCCACGGCUAACUACGUGCCAGCAGCCGCGGUAAUACGUAGGUGGCAAGCGUUGUCCGGAUUUAUUGGGCGUAAAGCGAGCGCAGGCGGUUUUUUAAGUCUGAUGUGAAAGCCUUCGGCUCAACCGAAGAAGUGCAUCGGAAACUGGGAAACUUGAGUGCAGAAGAGGACAGUGGAACUCCAUGUGUAGCGGUGAAAUGCGUAGAUAUAUGGAAGAACACCAGUGGCGAAGCGGCUGUCUGGUCUGUAACUGACGCUGAGGCUCGAAAGUAUGGGUAGCAAACAGGAUUAGAUACCCUGGUAGUCCAUACCGUAACGAUGAAUGCUAAGUGUUGGAGGGUUUCCGCCCUUCAGUGCUGCAGCUAACGCAUUAAGCAUUCCGCCUGGGGAGUACGGCCGCAAGGCUGAAACUCAANGAA
RNAcentral lists this ribosomal RNA (904 nucleotides) under Lactobacillus sp. B2. RNAcentral's name for it is "bacterial SSU rRNA". It matches the Rfam family "Bacterial small subunit ribosomal RNA", at positions 39 to 908 of the family's 1533-position model. Lineage: Bacteria; Bacillati; Bacillota; Bacilli; Lactobacillales; Lactobacillaceae. The record is from RNAcentral.